UAAUUCUUAGCUCAGUUGGUAGAGCAGAUGCCUUCUAAGCAUUUGGUCAUAGGUUCGACUCCUAUAGAAUCCA
RNAcentral lists this transfer RNA (73 nucleotides) under Naegleria gruberi. Its description in RNAcentral is "tRNA-Arg". It matches the Rfam family "tRNA". Rfam says of the family: Transfer RNA (tRNA) molecules are approximately 80 nucleotides in length. Their secondary structure includes four short double-helical elements and three loops (D, anti-codon, and T loops). The record is from RNAcentral. Lineage: Eukaryota; Heterolobosea; Eutetramitea; Acrasida; Naegleriidae.